GCGGGUGUAGCUCAAUGGCAGAGCUCCAGCCUUCCAAGCUGGCGGUGGGGGUUCGAUUCCCCUCACCCGCU
Molecule: transfer RNA, 71 nt
Filed under: Acidimicrobiia bacterium
Lineage: Bacteria; Bacillati; Actinomycetota; Acidimicrobiia
Description: tRNA-Gly
Rfam family: tRNA
About the family: Transfer RNA (tRNA) molecules are approximately 80 nucleotides in length.
Source: RNAcentral